UGAUUAGAGGUGUGCUCUGAACAAGCCGAGACGGGGCCGUGCCGAGCAAUGAUCUCCCGCUGGUACUUUGAUGUGACUGAAGGGAAGUGUGCCCCAUUCUUUUACGGCGGAUGUGGCGGCAACCGGAACAACUUUGACACAGAAGAGUACUGCAUGGCCGUGUGUGGCAGCGCCUGUCCCAAAGUUUACUCAAGACUACCCAGGAACCUCUUGCCCGAGAUCCUGUUAAACGUACGUUGUC
This 241-nucleotide long non-coding RNA is filed under the name Homo sapiens (human). RNAcentral describes it as "non-protein coding lnc-ATP5PF-2:2". Lineage: Eukaryota; Metazoa; Chordata; Mammalia; Primates; Hominidae. The record is from RNAcentral.